Molecule: RNase P RNA, 332 nt
Filed under: Bacillota bacterium
Lineage: Bacteria; Bacillati; Bacillota
Description: RNase P RNA component class B
Rfam family: Bacterial RNase P class B
About the family: Ribonuclease P (RNase P) is a ubiquitous endoribonuclease, found in archaea, bacteria and eukarya as well as chloroplasts and mitochondria.
Source: RNAcentral
AAUUUCGACAGUUGCUGGCGUAAGCUAGAGGAAAGUCCAUGCUCGCACAGUCUGAGAUGACUGUAGUGUUUGUGCUAGAUUAAUCAAUAAGUCUAGGCAGGAGCAAUCCUGACGGCUGUUCUCUAACCUAAGGAUGUAAAUCUAUGGAAAGGGACUUUAAAAGUGCCACAGAGACGAGCUGAUAUGGAAACAUAUCAGGUGGAACGGGUAAACCCCACAAGCGAGAAACCCAAAUUUGGUAGGGGAACCGAGGGAAUGUGAAAUGAAGCAAACCCCGGAUAACAGAAAUGUUAUAGAUAAAUAACUGUCUAAUACAGAACAUGGCUUAUGGA